This 490-nucleotide ribosomal RNA is filed under the name fungal sp. AM2013. RNAcentral's name for it is "eukaryotic LSU rRNA". The stretch from base 132 to 285 matches the Rfam family "5.8S ribosomal RNA". The record is from RNAcentral. Lineage: Eukaryota; Fungi.
AAACCCCUGUGAACAUACCAAUUGUUGCCUCGGCGGAUCAGCCCGCUCCCGGUAAAACGGGACGGCCCGCCAGAGGACCCCUAAACUCUGUUUCUAUAUGUAACUUCUGAGUAAAACCAUAAAUAAAUCAAAACUUUCAACAACGGAUCUCUUGGUUCUGGCAUCGAUGAAGAACGCAGCAAAAUGCGAUAAGUAAUGUGAAUUGCAGAAUUCAGUGAAUCAUCGAAUCUUUGAACGCACAUUGCGCCCGCCAGUAUUCUGGCGGGCAUGCCUGUUCGAGCGUCAUUUCAACCCUCAAGCCCAGCUUGGUGUUGGGACUCGCGAGUCAAAUCGCGUUCCCCAAAUUGAUUGGCGGUCACGUCGAGCUUCCAUAGCGUAGUAGUAAAACCCUCGUUACUGGUAAUCGUCGCGGCCACGCCGUUAAACCCCAACUUCUGAAUGUUGACCUCGGAUCAGGUAGGAAUACCCGCUGAACUUAAGCAUAUCAUAA